RNAcentral lists this long non-coding RNA (535 nucleotides) under Trifolium pratense (red clover). RNAcentral's name for it is "long non-coding RNA (TPRA_LNC000710)". The record is from RNAcentral. Lineage: Eukaryota; Viridiplantae; Streptophyta; Magnoliopsida; Fabales; Fabaceae.
UAGCUCAUUUUUUAAUAAUAUUUACAUGUAUGGAAAUCUAACGAAAUUACCCUUGUUGGCAUUUCAAUUUCGUCGAAUUUGGAGUUACGAUGGGUUCGGUAGACGAUGUUGAAUUUUAAGAUCACAAGUAGAUUUCUGCAGAAUUAGUAAUUGGACACACCUUCACUAAAACGGUAAUUAAUCUGUCUCUGUAACUCCAAAUUUAGUGGGGUUUGAUUCUGUGGAAAGCUAACUCGAUUACGGUCAUUUAGGUAGCCAAUUGGUGAAUUAUGGAUCCAAAUUGAGUUGUAUGCGAAGCUUUGAAGUUGUGACUCGAAAGCAGAUUUUUGCAAAAUUGUGGGGGACAUACCUUCACUAAAACGGUAAUUAAUCUCUCUUUGUAACUCCAAAUUCAGUGGAGUUUGAUUAUGUGGAAAGAUAACUCGAUUACGGUCAUUUCGGUAUCCUUUUGGUGAAUUAUUGAUCAAAAUUGAGUUGUGUGCGAAGUUUUAAAGUUAUGACUCGAAAGCAGAAUUUUAGGGGGGGCAAAAUCCAA